CUCACAGCGAUUAGCGCACGUGAGCUGUUGGAUCUUGCUUGGCAUGGGAUCUCGGCCGUCCGUUUUUCUUCAUUGAGACAUAUAAAAAGAAGAGAACCUAGCCGCCGGCUCGUCGUCGCGCCUCGCUUCCUCCUCCCCAAUCGGCUGGCCUCCUCCUCUCCCAGUCGCACCUCAUCCUGUCGCCGCUGCCGCCCCCACCCCCAAGUCGAUCCCAACCGCGCCUCCUCCCGUCUCCAGCUGGUCGAUUCCGGCCGCAUCCUCUGCCACCAGCGACCAUUGCGAGCUCGUCUCACCCUCUGGCCCAUGGGAAGAGCACGAGAGGGUGUGACAUGGAGAAGGGGGGCGCACAGGAUGGCGACCAUGGAGGAGGCCGCGCGGGGUGGCCGAGCAGCAGCCGUUGGCGGCGGCCUCCUCUGCCCCGAGCGGGGAGGUGGUGUGGCCUUCAUCGUCGAUUAGCAGCACCACGCUCAUCUUCCGUUCCUGGUUAUACUGCAUCCACAUCUCGUGAGGCCAUGGAACAAGCUGGGCACUCCGUGAGGAGACAACUUUCAUGGGCAAAUAAGGACAGGAAUCAGAGGCUGGCAGCAUGGGGUUAGAUGCCACAACACACAAAAAGCAAUUCGAACAGCUUGUAUUUCAUCGGAACAGCAGAUCAACAUGGUAAGUUUGUCUUGUUUCUAUCUGUUCAACUCAUUAGGAAGCCCUAUAAUCCUAUACAGAGUACUAAAAAGAGAUUAUACUAAGUAUAUGACACCCAAAGAAUUGCUCUCUCUAGUGAUGGGGACAACUAAGCCUGAGAAAGAAGUAGCUCUAGGCAAUGAGCGUUGGUCCUGCUUCAUUAAGUAGAAUUAAUAAUUCAGAAAUACUUCGUACUGAUACCGCUGCAGCGUCGCUAUCUUCAGCAGCGACAAAUUAGAAUUGAGAAGGGAUUUUUGAAGAUAUAUGUAUAUAAAUAUGUUCUUCGGUUCUGGAGCGAUUCACAAUGAUUUGAUGCUCCGGUUCUAAUUUUAGUUCAUAUUUUGGACAGUAGAAUAUAUAGCACCAGCAUUGUAUUUGUGGAGGUUCUAAGGCCAGAUUCAUAUUUCCAAUAGUCCUAGGCAUAUAUCCUUUAUGGGACAAGAUUAGUCUCAAGUUUUUAUUCCACGCAUUGUUAGGCUUUGUAGCCAUAAUUUGCUGUGAAAGAUCAAAUCAGCUGGAUGGUGCAAUAUUAUGACUCAUAGCGAUUUGAGUUAUUGCCCGUCAGAUCUCUCCUCAAAACCGAUGCUAGGUAUUUCUGGAUUCCCAGUUUUGAAGUGCUCGGGAGUUUGUUACAUUGCUCAAGACCCAUAUACUUCAAACUGAUGCUAGGUAUUGUUUUUUGUACUGCCUGUUCUGAAUCAUCUCCACCUCUGUUCUGCUCACCGGUCCUCUCCAUUUCACAAUAUAUUGUCAAAGUCAAUAUGCAGUUUUGCUAUGUAGCCUCUCUGAUCAGCAAGAUAAUUUAAGGCAUUAUUGUUAGAGAAACUGUCUAAACUGAAAUGAGCAUAGUUUCUCUCAACCAUUUCCUAUUUAGACCAGUGUACAAAGAGAGACCAAAGUUUGACACCGGAAAAGUUAAUGCUGAUUAAUCAGACCAUAUUCUCAGUUAAAUGAAAUACCAUGAAUUUCUGCUUUACUCUGAAAUUUAACAAAUGUAAAAGAGAAAGUUCCUGAGAUAUCAUGGGCUAUGUGAUGCUUGAAACAAAAUAAUAGUUGUGUGCUGUAAUCUAAAACAUUUUUUUGCAGGGAUAUAUCUGAAACAUUUUCUUGCAGGAACUUUUGUACAUAUACAUAUCUACUUCUUGAGUGUGCCCCAUAAAGAAAGCCUCAAUGCUUGUGAUCCCUUUACCUUCUUACUUUGUUGUUGCUCUUCCCAGAUUAUUUCCAUAAAAACACACUGUUUCUUAUAUUAUACCGCUAUUACAGGAUGGUAUGUUCCGCUGCAUUAUUCAAGUUUGGAGAUUCACGCCUGACUAGCCAUAGUGGUUGGUCUCUUGUAGUGAGUGCAGGCAAAUGUCUAGACCUGCUACUUGUUCAUCUACAAGACACCUGCACGGAGGCAACUCUGGAGUAGCGUCUCGCCUACAUAACAAGUUGGAGAAAGUUAAAAGACACUCUCAGAUGAGAAUGAUCAUGCUUAUGAUCUUUUGUAAUAUAACUACUGUUGGAUUGAAAAUAGGAUAUUAGUUACAACUAUGAAUUUCCUUUAAGGAAUUUACACCUGGUCCUCACUUUA
Non-coding RNA from Lolium perenne, 2254 nucleotides. NCBI's taxonomy places the organism in Eukaryota, Viridiplantae, Streptophyta, Magnoliopsida, Poales, Poaceae. The record is from RefSeq and is a predicted model, not a curated record.